UACGAAGGGGGCGAGCGUUGUUCGGAAUCACUGGGCGUAAAGGGCGCGUAGGCGGCUUGUUAAGUCGGGGGUGAAAGCCUGUGGCUCAACCACAGAAUUGCCUUCGAUACUGUCGAGCUUGAGACCGGAAGAGGUAAGUGGAACUGCGAGUGUAGAGGUGAAAUUCGUAGAUAUUCGCAAGAACACCAGUGGCGAAGGCGGCUUACUGGUCCGGUUCUGACGCUGAGGCGCGAAAGCGUGGGGAGCAAACAGG
RNAcentral lists this ribosomal RNA (253 nucleotides) under uncultured bacterium. RNAcentral describes it as "partial 16S ribosomal RNA". It matches the Rfam family "Bacterial small subunit ribosomal RNA", at positions 524 to 776 of the family's 1533-position model. The record is from RNAcentral.